CUUAAAGGAAUUGACGGAAGGGCACCACCAGGAGUGGAAUCUGCGGCUUAAUUUGACCAACGCGGGAAAACUCACCAGGUCAGGACACGGUAAGGAUUGACGGACUGAAGGCUCUUUCUCGAUUCCGUGGAAAGUGGUGCAUGGCCGUUUUUGGUUGGUGGAUCGAUCCGUCUGGUUAAUUCCGUUAACGAACGAGACCUCGGCACUCCGAAUAGCGCGGCGGACGUCGCGGCCUCCGGGCCGUCUUCCGCACGAGCUUCUUAGAGGGACCGUCCCCCGCCGGGGAAGGAGGUGCGAGGCAACGACAGGUCUGUGAUGCCCUUAGAUGUUCUGGGCCGCACGCGCAUUACACUGACGCGUCCAACGGGUGACUCCCGACCCGAAGGGGCCGGGGAAUCCGCAAGGCGCGUCGUGAUGGGGAUUGAACGUUGCAAUUGUUGUUCACGAACGAGGAAUUCCUAGUAGGCGCGGGUCAUCAACCCGCGCCGAUUACGUCCCUGCCCUUUGUA
This 509-nucleotide ribosomal RNA is filed under the name uncultured eukaryote. RNAcentral's name for it is "bacterial SSU rRNA". It matches the Rfam family "Eukaryotic small subunit ribosomal RNA", at positions 1143 to 1664 of the family's 1831-position model. The record is from RNAcentral.